UUCAGUGUUUAGGCUGCCUUAGUCAGUCCUGUCUGAGUUCAGAAGCUAAGCAAGGCUGGGCCCAGUUAAUUCUUGGAUGGAAGAACACCUGGGAAUACUAAGUGUUGUAGGUU
This 113-nucleotide ribosomal RNA is filed under the name Salvator merianae (Argentine black and white tegu). Lineage: Eukaryota; Metazoa; Chordata; Lepidosauria; Squamata; Teiidae. The record is from RNAcentral.